GGGCCCUCCGUGCACAUGCAUGAUCNGACCCACCGCCGUGUAACAAGCGGAGCUAGUAGGUGUCAUACUUAGAAUGACAAAUACAUCACGGCAAGAUCGUGAAACCAUGGGCCAACGGGGUCGAAGCUUCUUCGAUCGGAACUUUGCUUCCGAUCAUCUUGUGCGCGAACUGGAGACGCACUUGAUCGAAGUGGUUUUGGCAAGAAAGAAACCGAAAUGAGAAUAUUGGUACUAGGUGUCGCGGGGUAAAGCCCUGGGCUCAACCCAGGAAGUGCAUUGGAAACUGUCAGACUUGAAUACGGGAGAGGGUAGUGGAAUUCCUAGUGUAGGAGUGAAAUCCGUAGAUAUUAGGAGGGAACACCGGUGGCGAAGGCGGCUACCUGGACCGAUAUUGACGCUGAGACGCGAAAGCGUGGGUAGCAAACAGGAUUAGAUACCCUGGUAGUCCACGCCGUAAACGAU
This 462-nucleotide ribosomal RNA is filed under the name uncultured prokaryote. Its description in RNAcentral is "bacterial SSU rRNA". The stretch from base 213 to 462 matches the Rfam family "Bacterial small subunit ribosomal RNA", at positions 559 to 810 of the family's 1533-position model. The record is from RNAcentral.